UGAGCAACCUGCCCCUGGCUCUGGGAUAACCCCGGGAAACCGGAGCUAAUACCGGAUACGAGACCGAUUGGCAUCUUUACGGUCUGGAAAGUUUUUCGGCCAGGGAUGGGCUCGCGGCCUAUCAGCUUGUUGGUGGGGUAACGGCCCACAAGGCGACGACGGGUAGCCGGCCUGAGAGGGUGACCGGCCACACUGGGACUGAGACACGGCCCAGACUCCUACGGGAGGCA
RNAcentral lists this ribosomal RNA (230 nucleotides) under uncultured bacterium. RNAcentral describes it as "partial 16S ribosomal RNA". It matches the Rfam family "Bacterial small subunit ribosomal RNA", at positions 118 to 350 of the family's 1533-position model. The record is from RNAcentral.